AAGUCGUAACAAGGUCUCCGUAGGUGAACCUGCGGAGGGAUCAUUUGAGAAUCUGGGCCGGCCUCCGCGUCGACUCGGACUUGACUCUUCAGCCUGUGGAAAUGAGCUGUGCUUCGGCGUCCCUUUGUGGCGCCGCCUUCAUGCCGUCCGGCUUGUCUUGUCUGUCAUGAAUUGAGAAAUCAAAACUUUCAACAAAGGAUCUCUUGGCUCUC
Molecule: unclassified non-coding RNA, 212 nt
Filed under: fungal sp.
Lineage: Eukaryota; Fungi
Description: partial internal transcribed spacer region
Rfam family: Eukaryotic small subunit ribosomal RNA (bases 1-46)
Source: RNAcentral